UGCAGUGCUCUUAAGUGUGAGGGAUCCUAUGCACACCUUGAAAUACCUUUUCACUUCAUAUUUGAAAAUGUGUGUGCCUGUGUAUUCAUAAUGGGCAGAGAUGAUAAAGGCUCUCACUGGCAUGAAAACUCAACACAGUAUAGGCAGCUGCUGUGAAACAGAAUAUUACGGGUUUAUCCUGAUGCAUAUAGAGGAAAAU
Mesocricetus auratus (golden hamster) is the source of this 199-nucleotide unclassified non-coding RNA. NCBI's taxonomy places the organism in Eukaryota, Metazoa, Chordata, Mammalia, Rodentia, Cricetidae. The record is from Ensembl.